CGGUGGCGGGCCGUCCUGCGGGGGCGGCCCGUCCUGCGGCGGCGGGUGCGGCGGUCCAUGAAGGUUCGGUUCAGAUCCCGGCCGGUGCCGG
RNAcentral lists this transfer RNA (91 nucleotides) under Virgisporangium ochraceum. RNAcentral describes it as "tRNA-Arg". Lineage: Bacteria; Bacillati; Actinomycetota; Actinomycetes; Micromonosporales; Micromonosporaceae. The record is from RNAcentral.